Molecule: ribosomal RNA, 207 nt
Filed under: uncultured bacterium
Lineage: Bacteria
Description: partial 16S ribosomal RNA
Rfam family: Bacterial small subunit ribosomal RNA
Source: RNAcentral
CGCGCAGGCGGUCGAUCAAGUCGAGUGUGAAAGCCCCCGGCUCAACUGGGGAGGGUCAUUCGAUACUGAUCGACUCGAAGGCAGGAGAGGGUAGUGGAAUUCCCGGUGUAGUGGUGAAACGCGUAGAUAUCGGGAGGAACACCAGUGGCGAAGGCGACUACCUGGCCUGUUCUUGACGCUGAGGCGCGAAAGCUAGGGGAGCAAACA